Molecule: long non-coding RNA, 281 nt
Filed under: Lathyrus oleraceus (garden pea)
Lineage: Eukaryota; Viridiplantae; Streptophyta; Magnoliopsida; Fabales; Fabaceae
Description: Pisum sativum (pea) long non-coding RNA (PSAT_LNC036131)
Source: RNAcentral
UGUACUGAUAACCUUAUGAGGUUUCUUGAGGGAAUUAGUUCGAGGCUAUCGCAAUUGGAAUUAUAUUGUUACAAUCUAGAUAAGUCAAUUGGAGAAAUGAGAUCUGAGUUAACUAGUGAUCAUGAGAAUCGCAAUUGGAAUUAUAUUGUUACAAUCUAGAUAAGUCAAUUGGAGAAAUGAGAUCUGAGUUAACUAGUGAUCAUGAGGAGGCAGAUUCGAAACUCAAAUCUCUUGAUAAACAUCUUCGGGAAGUACACAGGUCUGUACAAAUUUUAAGAGAC